UACGGGGGGUGCGAGCGCUAAUCGGAAUUACUGGGCGUAAAGCGCGCGUAGGCGGUUUGUUAAGUCGGAUGUGAAAUCCCCGGGCUCAACCUGGGAAUGGCAUUCGAUACUGGCCGACUAGAGUACGAGAGAGGGAGGUAGAAUUCCACGUGUAGCGGUGAAAUGCGUAGAUAUGUGGAGGAAUACCGGUGGCGAAGGCGGCCUCCUGGCUCGAUACUGACGCUGAGGUGCGAAAGCGUGGGUAGCAAACAGG
This 253-nucleotide ribosomal RNA is filed under the name uncultured bacterium. RNAcentral describes it as "partial 16S ribosomal RNA". It matches the Rfam family "Bacterial small subunit ribosomal RNA", at positions 524 to 776 of the family's 1533-position model. The record is from RNAcentral.